UAUAUAGAGACAGUAUAUAUGAUAUAAAUCAUGCAGGUAAUAAUUUUUAUUUUUUCCAUAUGUUUUAGAUAUUUUUUAAUUCAUUUUUUUCUUCAAAUAUGUAUUUUUGAAUAUAUUUUUCUACUUUUAUGGCAUAUAUAUGGUUAACAAUGUUUGACUUAUUUGGUAUACUGAAUAUAUGAACAUAUCAUUUCUCACAAAUGUCAAUUCAUGAAUUAGAUGACUCCAGGGCCGUCAAGUCAUAUGCAGAAAGCAUUCGCUCUUGUGUAUGCAACUCUUUUUGUUAUCUAAGUCUUGCAACAUAUUUUUACCCUAUCCAACAUUCUAUCUAUGCACACGUGUCAGUCUAAAUUUCUCGCCUUCAUCACAGUCGACACCAUUUGUAUUACAAACAUAUUUGAUAUAUUGUUUAAGUUUCAUUCCGUCAAGAACAUUUUUUGAAAUAUAAACAACUGGACGCUAAACAAUUUUUAAUGUCUUAAAAUCAUAGUAACAACAAACCUGGAAAGCUCAGCAAAUUUGAGUGAUUGGGAAUAAGGAUUGCAAAUGUGGACCCCAAUCGAAAAAUUAUGGUUAACUAUGUUGGAAAGGGACAUAAAUUAAGUUAUACCAACUUUCCAUUCAAUAAGAACAAUUAUUGAUAUUUUUCAUAGAGAUGGUUUUUAAUAUGAACUUGAUUGUAAAAAUCAUGAACAGCUAAUAUAUCUUUUGUUUUGUUAACGUUUAAAACAUGGUCAUUUAUUUAAAAAAAAACCUUUCUUCAUAAUAAUCGACAGCUUUGGAACACAUGCAUGCAUUUGGAAAAUAAUAAGCAUGAAAUAGAGAUUGAAGCCUGCAAAUACUCAACAACCUGUCUCUCUUAAGACUUUCAAAAGAUAAUUUAUCUGUUUAAAAAUUGAAGAUUAAUAAACGAUGUCACCCUACUGUGACUAUUGCAACUUAUUAUAUAGAAGGCUAAUAUGUUAUGUCAGUUUUUCCCCCUUUUUUUUUUUUAUAGUUUAUUAAAAAAAAACUAACUUUAAUAUACAUUGUAGCAAGAAAGAGAUUAUAUUUUGACAGAAUAACUAUUAUCAGACAGCCUGACAAAAUCAUCAACCGAAUACGAUGCCUGAUUCGUCAUACCAAUUUCUGUCAAUAUCACUAAUGACAACUUACAUUUAACGUAACAGCUUUUUAAAAUGUUUAAUGAAUCUUAAAACUUAAAACUUACAUGUAUGAAAAUAUCAUAUGAAUCUAGAAUCAUUAAAAUGUUCGGUCCUCCCGGUUUUAAACAUGUAAAACAUGAAGACGCGAGUUUGGCCCUUUCGGUUCAAAACCAUUGUUGUCAUUCUUUUGCACAUAUUUUUUUAAAAUGCUUGUGUCUUAUUGGACACUUGGGCAGACACGGUUUAAAAUUUGUACAUCAAUACAAGAUUUGUAUCAUUCAAUUUCUAUAAUUCCAUUGAUUGAAACAUGCUGAUAGGUUUCAUAGCAAUUGAGAAUAAUAUACCAACUGAAAUUUAUUUAAUUUAAAUAUGACAAUAAACAAGCCAACAUUUUUACUAUUUAAAUUGAAAAACGAUAUCAAGCGAUAAAAUAUUAUAUUCUCACAAGUUUUUAAACCUAUUUUUCUGAUGGUUAACCUAUCGAUCAUGAAUGUGUUGACCCCAAGGGUGACUGGGGAUUUAAUAUAAGGUCAUCACAUGUCUUCUUCCGAAUGGCAGUGAAACCUUUGACAAAGUGGGGCGUCUGAUUAACUGCGUGUUGUAUCAAGUACACAGUCACUUCUGGUCAGAAUGGGGACGUUAAAUAUGAUCUUGUGUAAAGAGAAUUAUAAUACCUCGUUUUUUGCACGUUACGAUCCCUUACAUCAACUAGUAGGAGGCAUAUUGAAAGGCCAAAUUUCGGUCCCUAUCCAACAUACCAUAAUUUUCCAGUGACAGUCAUAAUUUCCUUUGCCCCAGUCGGCCUGUAUUACAAGACCUACCAAUUGUAUUCAUUUUUAAUUUCUUCUUGUCCUGAAUAUACAUGCAAUAUUUGCCACUAGAUGUUAUGCAACCAAUAAUCAAUCAAUCAAUGUGUUGAAUAGGAAAGUCCGCGAGUCGGUAUACUUAAAGUUAUUGAUUUAUUUAAAGUGACAAUGUGUUGUUUUUGUACUAUAAGUUGUAAAAAGAAAACAAAUUUGUCUUGGUAAAUAUGUAAAUAUAUUCAAAAUCAUUGUUAACUGUUAAUUUGUUUAAAUUUUUAAAGAAAAAAAACAGCAAUGAUUGCAAUAGUUAUCUUUAUGUUCUCUUUCACAGUUUAAACCUACCUCAUUCGAAAAAAUAGUAAAGAUAGAAUCAUCAUGCAAUAAAAAAUAUUUUUUUCAGUUUUCAGUAACAAUCGUUUGUAUUUUGGUCCUUGGAGUCCUCGCAGCUGAAGGUACAGAUACGGUGUUGUCAGAUGCCAAAGGUUGUCCACAGUUGUGUUCUAGUGAAUAUAAUCACUGUCACAAGUUGUUCAUGUGUAAUGAACGUAAUUCCGAAGAUGAAAGCAUCCAGUGUUUCCAGUAUUGUCUUGAAAGAUUACAGAUGUGCCAGAAAAGUUGCAAAGUGCAGUAAAAUUUACAUGACUACAGAAUCGUUAUUGCUAAAGGAAACUAGAAAAAAGACAUGUUUGAAGCACACGUAUGCUUAUACAUGAUUAAAUGUAAUAAAAGA
This 2678-nucleotide long non-coding RNA is filed under the name Mytilus galloprovincialis (Mediterranean mussel). Lineage: Eukaryota; Metazoa; Mollusca; Bivalvia; Mytilida; Mytilidae. The record is from RNAcentral.